Haemonchus contortus (barber pole worm) is the source of this 75-nucleotide non-coding RNA. Lineage: Eukaryota; Metazoa; Nematoda; Chromadorea; Rhabditida; Trichostrongylidae. The record is from Rfam.
AGCACAAACUUGAAGUACAGUAGAUUAGUAGUAUCAGCCGAUCAUACCGAAUUAUUCUACUUCAAGUUUGUGCCC